GCAAACUUGGUCAUUUAGAGGAAGUAAAAGUCGUAACAAGGUUUCCGUAGGUGAACCUGCGGAAGGAUCAUUAGUGAAUAUUAGGGUGUCCAACUUAACUUGGAGCCCGACCCUCACUUUCUAACCCUGUGCAUUUGUCUUGGGUAGUAGCUUGCGUCAGCGAGCGAAUCCCAUUUCACUUACAAACACAAAGUCUAUGAAUGUAACAAAUUUAUAACAAAACAAAACUUUCAACAACGGAUCUCUUGGCUCUCGCAUCGAUGAAGAACGCAGC
This 274-nucleotide unclassified non-coding RNA is filed under the name uncultured fungus. RNAcentral's name for it is "partial contains small subunit ribosomal RNA, internal transcribed spacer 1, and 5.8S ribosomal RNA". The stretch from base 1 to 73 matches the Rfam family "Eukaryotic small subunit ribosomal RNA", at positions 1759 to 1831 of the family's 1831-position model. Lineage: Eukaryota; Fungi. The record is from RNAcentral.